GGUUUUGUAUUCAAUGAUGAUUUAAAUUUGCAAAAUUUGAGGUGAGAGCUACUCCAAGACUU
Molecule: transfer RNA, 62 nt
Filed under: Lepidocyrtus fimetarius
Lineage: Eukaryota; Metazoa; Arthropoda; Collembola; Entomobryomorpha; Entomobryidae
Description: tRNA-Cys
Source: RNAcentral